RNAcentral lists this ribosomal RNA (253 nucleotides) under uncultured bacterium. RNAcentral's name for it is "partial 16S ribosomal RNA". It matches the Rfam family "Bacterial small subunit ribosomal RNA", at positions 524 to 776 of the family's 1533-position model. The record is from RNAcentral.
UACGUAGGGUGCAAGCGUUGUCCGGAAUUAUUGGGCGUAAAGAGCUCGUAGGCGGUCUGUCGCGUCUGCUGUGAAAACUCAGGGCUUAACCCUGAGCUUGCAGUGGGUACGGGCAGACUAGAGUGCGGUAGGGGAGAUCGGAAUUCCUGGUGUAGCGGUGAAAUGCGCAGAUAUCAGGAGGAACACCGGUGGCGAAGGCGGAUCUCUGGGCCUUACCUGACGCUCAGGCACGAAAGCUAGGGGAGCGAACAGG